GGAGGCGAGAAAUAUUUUUUCCCGUUCCCCUUGCUGCUGUCUGCGUGCCGUGAGCUCUCCUCGUCCUCGACCACCGUCCCCGAGGCCCCCCUCCCGCCGACCGCCCCAUCCGCCGCCGGGGACCAAUCCUAACCCAGCGCGCUCGCGUCUCUCCCGGUAUCCGCUCGCCGCCCGUCCCGAUCUUCUCUCCGGACGCGGGCCGGCCCUGGAGCUGAGUCCGUGACGGAUGCCAGCGCCCCGCGGUUGCGCGCGACGAGGCCGUGGAGGUGGAGGGCGCCAGCAGCGGAAUCCAGUAGCCGGACCGUGACCUGCGUGGUGUCUGGUGCUGUAGCAGUAGCAGUCGCAGCGACAGUAGCGGGAGGAAGGGGAGGGAGGCAUGGACGAGUUCGACAGCGGCGGCCGGAGCGGGGACAGGGCGGCCGCCGCCGCCGCCGCCGCCGCCGCCGGGGGCGACGACGGGGCCGCUCCGCCGUUGCCUCAGACGGUACAAAUUGGGAAUUCACCAACCUAUAGACUUGAAAGGAAGCUUGGAAAGGGAGGAUUUGGACAAGUAUAUGUUGGUCGACGAAUUUCGGCUCCUCGUCUCAGUGACCGUAACCCUGGUUCAAAUGCUUUAGAGGUUGCACUGAAAUUUGAACACCAAACCAGCAAAGGUUGCAACUUUGGAGCUCCUUAUGAGUGGCAAGUUUACAACACUCUUAGUGGAAACCAUGGUGUCCCACGGGUACACUACAAAGGAAAGCAGGGAGAGUUUUACAUCAUGGUUAUGGACAUAUUGGGACCAAGCUUAUGGGAUGUUUGGAAUAAUAAUUCCCACUCGAUGUCUGUUGAGAUGGUUGCAUGCAUAGGUAUAGAGGCAAUCUCCAUACUGGAAAAGAUGCACUCUAAAGGGUAUGUCCAUGGUGAUGUGAAGCCUGAGAACUUCUUGCUUGGCCCUCCUGGUACCCCAGAAGAGAAGAAGCUUUUUCUUGUUGACCUUGGAUUGGCAACUAAGUGGAAGGAUGUUGGUACGGGGCAUCAUGUUGAAUAUGAUCAGAGACCUGAUAUUUUUAGGGGAACUGUUCGCUAUGCUAGUGUGCAUGCUCACUUGGGAAGAACUGGGAGUAGGAGAGAUGAUCUUGAAUCCCUUGCAUACACGCUUAUUUUUCUUCUACGUGGCCGCCUCCCUUGGCAAGGAUACCAGGGAGAGAACAAGGGUUUUCUUGUCUGCAAGAAAAAGAUGGCGACAUCUCCGGAGUCUUUGUGUGGAAUCUGUCCACAACCUUUCCGGGAUUUUGUUGAGUAUGUGGUGAACUUGAAAUUUGGUGAAGAACCAAAUUAUGCGAAGUGCAUCUCUCUUUUUGAUGGCAUUGUUGGCCCAAAUCCAGACAUAAGACCGAUAAACACAGAUGGUGCCCAAAAGCUAAUAUAUCAGGUUGGCCAGAAGAGAGGCCGGUUAAUAGUGGAUGAAAAUGAUGAUGAGCAACCUAAGAAAAAGAUCAGAAUGGGGAUGCCGGCAACUCAGUGGAUUAGUGUCUACAAUGCCCGUCGACCCAUGAAACAGAGGUACCACUACAAUGUAGCCGAUAAUAGAUUGCUGCAGCAUAUUCAAAAGGGAAACGAAGAUGGCUUGUUUAUUAGUUCAGUUGCCUCUAGCUCAAAUCUGUGGGCUUUAAUUAUGGAUGCUGGCACUGGCUUUACAUCUCAAGUAUACGAACUUUCUAAUUACUUUCUUCACAAGGAAUGGAUAAUGGAACAGUGGGAGAGAAAUUUCUAUAUCACUGCACUGGCUGGGGCGAAUAAUGGAAGCUCUUUGGUGAUUAUGUCAAGAGGAACACAAUAUGCCCAGCAGUCCUACAAAGUAAGCGAUACAUUUCCCUUCAAAUGGAUAAACAAAAAGUGGAAGGAGGGCUUCUAUGUCACUGCUAUGGCAACAGCUGGAAGCCGAUGGGCAGUUGUCAUGUCCCGCAAUGCUGGUUUCACUUCUCAGGUAGUGGAGCUUGAUUUCUUAUAUCCGAGUGAGGGCAUCCACAUGCGUUGGGACAAUGGCUAUCGCAUCACGGCAACGGCUGCCACAUGGGACCAGGCAGCCUUUAUCUUGAGCAUUCCAAGGAGAAAGCCUAGUGAUGAAACACAGGAGACCCUUAGAACAUCUGCGUUUCCUAGCCAGCAUGUGAAGGACAAAUGGUCCAAGAACCUGUACCUAGCUUCCAUCUGCUAUGGAAGAUCGGUGUCCUGAAACCCAUUUUCUCGAUUUGGUUUGGUUGCCGAGAGGUAUAUUGAUAUCAAAGACAGGUGGUUUUAUGAUAUCAGAUGGAGUGUUUUGAAGCUCAAAACUCUGCUAACCUACUGCAACUAACAAAAGAUUUCAUUGGAAUGUCAUCGGGACUGGAGGAGACAUGCUGACACAAAUGAACGACGACAGGGUCGGCAGAAUCGAUAUCAGCUGGUGUUUCGAAAUUACAAAGAUGGAAUUUUUAGUUUUUUCUUCAUCAGUUCUAAGUUACAGAUCAUUAGCUAUGUCGUAAUUCAUUUUGAUACAUCAUUCAGAAGGAUACAAAAUUGCUUCUAUGUAUAUCGUUGUGCAGUUGUGCUCCAACAAGCGGCCAUUCCCCCAUAUUGCUGACAGCUGCACGAGUUGCGGUGAAUCAA
Zea mays is the source of this 2631-nucleotide RNA transcript. It is a transcript of the gene named casein kinase 1-like protein HD16, with no coding region annotated. The record is from RefSeq and is a predicted model, not a curated record. The transcript is spliced from 17 exons. NCBI's taxonomy places the organism in Eukaryota, Viridiplantae, Streptophyta, Magnoliopsida, Poales, Poaceae.